UUUAAAUGUAAUUUUUUAAUUAAGUAGUAUUAGUUAUGUUCUUGAAAUUUAAAAAUUUUGGCGGUAUUUUAGUCUGUUUAGAGGAACCUGUUCUAUAAUUGAUAGUCCACGAUGAAUUAAACUUAAGUUAUAAAUUUGUAUAUCGUCGUUUUUAAUUAUUUUAUAAGAAUUAUAAUAGUUAAGAUUUUAGAUUAAAAAAUAAGUCAGAUCAAGGUGCAGUUUAUAUUUAAGUAGAAAUGGGUUACAAUAAAUGUAUUUAUUUAUGAAUUUAUUUAUGAAAAUUGGUAAUGAAGGAGGAUUUAAAAGUAAUAAAAUUUAAAUAUAUUUUAUGAUUUUAGCUCUAAAAUGUGU
RNAcentral lists this ribosomal RNA (351 nucleotides) under Hydrodessus sp. UNM KBMHusp735. RNAcentral's name for it is "partial 12S ribosomal RNA". Lineage: Eukaryota; Metazoa; Arthropoda; Insecta; Coleoptera; Dytiscidae. The record is from RNAcentral.